RNAcentral lists this transfer RNA (85 nucleotides) under Tissierellia bacterium. RNAcentral's name for it is "tRNA-Leu". It matches the Rfam family "tRNA". Rfam says of the family: Transfer RNA (tRNA) molecules are approximately 80 nucleotides in length. Their secondary structure includes four short double-helical elements and three loops (D, anti-codon, and T loops). The record is from RNAcentral. Lineage: Bacteria; Bacillati; Bacillota; Tissierellia.
GCGGAUGUGGCGGAACUGGCAGACGCGCACGGUUCAGGUCCGUGUCUUUCACGAGGUGGGGGUUCAAAUCCCUUCAUCCGCACCA